GAUGAACGCUGGCGGCGUGCCUAAUACAUGCAAGUCGAGCGAACAGACGAGGAGCUUGCUCCUCUGACGUUAGCGGCGGACGGGUGAGUAACACGUGGAUAACCUACCUAUAAGACUGGGAUAACUUCGGGAAACCGGAGCUAAUACCGGAUAAUAUAUUGAACCGCAUGGUUCAAUAGUGAAAGACGGUUUUGCUGUCACUUAUAGAUGGAUCCGCGCCGCAUUAGCUAGUUGGUAAGGUAACGGCUUACCAAGGUGACGAUGCGUAGCCGACCUGAGAGGGUGAUCGGCCACACUUGAACUGAGACACGGUCCAGACUCCUACGGGAGGCAGCAGUAGGGAAUCUUCCGCAAUGGGCGAAAGCCUGACGGAGCAACGCCGCGUGAGUGAUGAAGGUCUUCGGAUCGUAAAACUCUGUUAUUAGGGAAGAACAAAUGUGUAAGUAACUAUGCACGUCUUGACGGUACCUAAUCAGAAAGCCACGGCUAACUACGUG
This 497-nucleotide ribosomal RNA is filed under the name uncultured bacterium. RNAcentral describes it as "partial 16S ribosomal RNA". It matches the Rfam family "Bacterial small subunit ribosomal RNA", at positions 28 to 507 of the family's 1533-position model. The record is from RNAcentral.